This is a long non-coding RNA of Herpailurus yagouaroundi (jaguarundi), 467 nucleotides long. RefSeq lists it as uncharacterized. The record is from RefSeq and is a predicted model, not a curated record. The transcript is spliced from 3 exons. NCBI's taxonomy places the organism in Eukaryota, Metazoa, Chordata, Mammalia, Carnivora, Felidae.
GUUUGAUGUGAAGGGUUUUUUUUUUUUUUUUCCCCUUCAGGCAUUGAAAAGGAAAAGAUGAAAUAUAUGUUUAUAUAUAACUGUGUUUCUCCAUACCUCACUGAAGUCAAAACCCAUUUAAUUGUUGUACCUCCCUUCCUCCGUGAUCUCCGACACUGGUAAAGUGGAAGGAACUCGGGUACCCUGCCACAGAAAAGUACUGGGACCGAGCAAGAGAAAGAGGUGCAGAAACGGGGGCCCAGAUGUUGAAAGGAGUGCCUAGGAUCAAGUUGGUUGGUAGGGACGGAACCGGGACUUGAGCCUAUCUUCCAGUUCCUAGUCUGGUGUUCUUUCUACUAUAUACGAGACGAGACGACGUCAGGGCCAAUGAGAUGCCCUUGGGUUUUAAAGGAGCUAAUACGUGAAAGUGAUGGCCACGUAUAUGACUUACUACCUGUUACAACUGUACCAGAACUGGCAAUAGUCCA